UACGGAGGAUGCGAGCGUUAUCCGGAUUUAUUGGGUUUAAAGGGUGCGUAGGCGGACUGUCAAGUCAGCGGUAAAAUUGAGAGGCUCAACCUCUUCACGCCGUUGAAACUGGUGGUCUUGAGUGGAUGAGAAGUACGCGGAAUGCGUGGUGUAGCGGUGAAAUGCAUAGAUAUCACGCAGAACUCCGAUUGCGAAGGCAGCGUACCGGCAUCCAACUGACGCUGAGGCACGAAAGCGUGGGGAUCAAACAGG
RNAcentral lists this ribosomal RNA (252 nucleotides) under uncultured bacterium. Its description in RNAcentral is "partial 16S ribosomal RNA". It matches the Rfam family "Bacterial small subunit ribosomal RNA", at positions 524 to 776 of the family's 1533-position model. The record is from RNAcentral.